This 491-nucleotide ribosomal RNA is filed under the name uncultured bacterium. Its description in RNAcentral is "partial 16S ribosomal RNA". It matches the Rfam family "Bacterial small subunit ribosomal RNA", at positions 29 to 507 of the family's 1533-position model. The record is from RNAcentral.
GUGAACGCUGGCGGUAGGCCUAACCCCUGCCGGUCGAACGGCAGCACAGUAAGAGCUUGCUCUUACGGGUGGCGAGUGGCGGACGGGUGAGGAAUACAUCGGAAUCUACUUUUUCGUGGGAGAUAACGUAGGGAAACUUACGCUAAUACCGCAUACGACCUACGGGUGAAAGCAGGGGAUCUUCGGACCUUGCGCGAUUGAAUGAGCCGAUGUCGGAUUAGCUAGUUGGCGGGGUAAAGGCCCACCAAGGCGACGAUCCGUAGCUGGCCUGAGAGGAUGAUCAGCCACACUGGAACUGAGACACGGUCCAGACUCCUACGGGAGGCAGCAGUGGGGAAUAUUGGACAAUGGGCGCAAGCCUGAUCCAGCCAUACCGCGUGGGUGAAGAAGGCCUUCGGGUUGUAAAGCCCUUUUGUUGGGAAAGAAAAGCAGCAGGUUAAUACCCCGCUGUUCUGACGGUACCCAAAGAAUAAGCACCGGCUAACUUCGUG